AGAGUUUGAUCCUGGCUCAGGAUGAACGCUGGCUGUGUGCCUAAUACAUGCAUGUCGAGCGAAGGUAGCAAUACCUUAGCGGCGAAUGGGUGAGUAACACGUACUCAACGUACCCUUCAGUUUGGGAUAGCGGGUGGAAACAUCCGAUAAUACCAAAUACUUAUUGUUUUCGCAUGAAAAUAAUAGAAAAGGAUCGAUUGCUUCGCUGGAGGAUCGGGGUGCGCAACAUUAGCUAGUUGGUGAGGUAACGGCCCACCAAGGCGAUGAUGUUUAGCGGGGUUGAGAGACUGAACCGCCACACUGGGACUGAGAUACGGCCCAGACUCCUACGGGAGGCAGCAGUAGGGAAUUUUCCACAAUGAGCGAAAGCUUGAUGGAGCGACACAGCGUGCAGGAUGAAGGCCCUAUGGGUUGUAAACUGCUGUGGUAAGUGAAGAAAAAGUAGUGUAGGAAAUGACAUUACCUUGACGGUAGCUUAUUAGAAAGCAACGGCUAACUAUGUGCCAGCAGCCGCGGUAAUACAUAGGUUGCAAGCGUUAUCCGGAAUUAUUGGGCGUAAAGCGUCUGUAGGUUGUUUGUUAAGUCUGGCGUUAAAUUUUGGGGCUCAACCCCAAACCGCGUUGGAUACUGGCAAGCUAGAGUUAUGUAGAGGUUAGCGGAAUUCCUUGUGAAGCGGUGAAAUGCGUAGAUAUAAGGAAGAACACCAAAAUGGCGAAGGCAGCUAACUGGGCAUACACUGACACUGAGAGACGAAAGCGUGGGGAGCAAACAGGAUUAGAUACCCUGGUAGUCCACGCCCUAAACGAUGAUCAUUAGCUGAUGGGGAACUCAUCGGCGCAGCUAACGCAUUAAAUGAUCCGCCUGAGUAGUACGUUCGCAAGAAUAAAACUUAAAGGAAUUGACGGGGAUCCGCACAAGCGGUGGAGCAUGUGGUUUAAUUUGAAGAUACGCGUAGAACCUUACCCACUCUUGACAUCUUCUGCAAAGCUAUGGAGACAUAGUGGAGGUUAACAGAAUGACAGAUGGUGCAUGGUUGUCGUCAGCUCGUGUCGUGAGAUGUUCGGUUAAGUCCUGCAACGAGCGCAACCCUUGUCCUUAGUUACUAACAUUAAGUUGAGCACUCUAAGGAGACUGCCCGAGUAAUUGGGAGGAAGGUGGGGAUGACGUCAAAUCAUCAUGCCUCUUACGAGUGGGGCAACACACGUGCUACAAUGGCCGAUACAAAGAGAAGCAAGAUGGUGACAUGGAGCAAACCUCAAAAAGUCGGUCUCAGUUCGGAUUGAAGUCUGCAACUCGACUUCAUGAAGUCGGAAUCGCUAGUAAUCGUAGAUCAGCUACGCUACGGUGAAUACGUUCUCGGGUCUUGUACACACCGCCCGUCAAACCAUGGGAGCUGGUAAUGCCCGAAGUCGGUUUAUAAACAAACUGCCUAAGGCAGGACUGGUGACUGGGGUUAAGUCGUAACAAGGUAUCCCUACGAGAACGUGGGGAUG
Molecule: ribosomal RNA, 1493 nt
Filed under: Mycoplasmopsis opalescens ATCC 27921
Lineage: Bacteria; Bacillati; Mycoplasmatota; Mycoplasmoidales; Metamycoplasmataceae
Description: bacterial SSU rRNA
Rfam family: Bacterial small subunit ribosomal RNA
Source: RNAcentral